CCCCUGUUUGGGGGGGGCUAAUACAUGCAAGUCGAGCGAACAGAUGAGAAGCUUGCUUCUCUGAUGUUAGCGGCGGACGGGUGAGUAACACGUGGGUAACCUACCUAUAAGACUGGGAUAACUCCGGGAAACCGGGGCUAAUACCGGAUAAUAUUUUGAACCGCAUGGUUCAAUAGUGAAAGACGGUUUCGGCUGUCACUUAUAGAUGGACCCGCGCCGUAUUAGCUAGUUGGUAAGGUAACGGCUUACCAAGGCGACGAUACGUAGCCGACCUGAGAGGGUGAUCGGCCACACUGGAACUGAGACACGGUCCAGACUCCUACGGGAGGCAGCAGUAGGGAAUCUUCCGCAAUGGGCGAAAGCCUGACGGAGCAACGCCGCGUGAGUGAUGAAGGUCUUCGGAUCGUAAAACUCUGUUGUUAGGGAAGAACAAAUUUGUUAGUAACUGAACAAGUCUUGACGGUACCUAACCAGAAAGCCACGGCUAACUACGUGCCAGCAGCCGCGGUAAUACGUAGGUGGCAAGCGUUAUCCGGAAUUAUUGGGCGUAAAGCGCGCGUAGGCGGUUUCUUAAGUCUGAUGUGAAAGCCCACGGCUCAACCGUGGAGGGUCAUUGGAAACUGGGAAACUUGAGUGCAGAAGAGGAGAGUGGAAUUCCAUGUGUAGCGGUGAAAUGCGCAGAGAUAUGGAGGAACACCAGUGGCGAAGGCGGCUCUCUGGUCUGUAACUGACGCUGAUGUGCGAAAGCGUGGGGAUCAAACAGGAUUAGAUACCCUGGUAGUCCACGCCGUAAACGAUGAGUGCUAAGUGUUAGGGGGUUUCCGCCCCUUAGUGCUGCAGCUAACGCAUUAAGCACUCCGCCUGGGGAGUACGACCGCAAGGUUGAAACUCAAAGGAAUUGACGGGGACCCGCACAAGCGGUGGAGCAUGUGGUUUAAUUCGAAGCAACGCGAAGAACCUUACCAAAUCUUGACAUCCUUUGACCGCUCUAGAGAUAGAGUCUUCCCCUUCGGGGGACAAAGUGACAGGUGGUGCAUGGUUGUCGUCAGCUCGUGUCGUGAGAUGUUGGGUUAAGUCCCGCAACGAGCGCAACCCUUAAGCUUAGUUGCCAUCAUUAAGUUGGGCACUCUAGGUUGACUGCCGGUGACAAACCGGAGGAAGGUGGGGAUGACGUCAAAUCAUCAUGCCCCUUAUGAUUUGGGCUACACACGUGCUACAAUGGAUAAUACAAAGGGCAGCGAAUCCGCGAGGCCAAGCAAAUCCCAUAAAAUUAUUCUCAGUUCGGAUUGUAGUCUGCAACUCGACUACAUGAAGCUGGAAUCGCUAGUAAUCGUAGAUCAGCAUGCUACGGUGAAUACGUUCCCGGGUCUUGUACACACCGCCCGUCACACCACGAGAGUUUGUAACACCCGAAGCCGGUGGAGUAACCUUUUAGGAGCUAGCCGUCGAAGGGGGGCAAAUGGG
Molecule: ribosomal RNA, 1464 nt
Filed under: Mammaliicoccus sciuri
Lineage: Bacteria; Bacillati; Bacillota; Bacilli; Caryophanales; Staphylococcaceae
Description: bacterial SSU rRNA
Rfam family: Bacterial small subunit ribosomal RNA
Source: RNAcentral